GACGGAGGAGGCAAGCGUUGUCCGGAAUCAUUGGGCGUAAAGAGCGCGUAGGCGGUUUUUCAAGUCAUGUGUGAAAACUUCAGGCUCAACUUGAAGAUUGCAUAUGAAACUGGAAAACUAGAGUACGGCAGAGGAAAGUGGAAUUCCUGGUGUAGCGGUGAAAUGCGCAGAUAUCAGGAAGAACACCAGUGGCGAAGGCGGCUUUCUAGGCCGUUACUGACGCUGAGGCGCGAAAGCUAGGGGAGCGAACAGGAUUAGAUACCCCCGUAGUC
Molecule: ribosomal RNA, 272 nt
Filed under: uncultured bacterium
Lineage: Bacteria
Description: partial 16S ribosomal RNA
Rfam family: Bacterial small subunit ribosomal RNA
Source: RNAcentral